UAAUACGUAGGGUGCGAGCGUUGUCCGGAAUUAUUGGGCGUAAAGAGCUUGUAGGCGGUCUGUCGCGUCUGCUGUGAAAAUCCGGGGCUCAACCCCGGACUUGCAGUGGGUACGGGCAGACUAGAGUGUGGUAGGGGAGACUGGAAUUCCUGGUGUAGCGGUGAAAUGCGCAGAUAUCAGGAGGAACACCGAUGGCGAAGGCAGGUCUCUGGGCCACUACUGACGCUGAGAAGCGAAAGCAUGGGGAGCGAACAGG
RNAcentral lists this ribosomal RNA (256 nucleotides) under uncultured prokaryote. Its description in RNAcentral is "partial 16S ribosomal RNA". It matches the Rfam family "Bacterial small subunit ribosomal RNA", at positions 521 to 776 of the family's 1533-position model. The record is from RNAcentral.